ACUCCUGCGGGAGGCAGCAGUGGGGAAUUUUACGCAAUGGGGGAAACCCUGACGUAGCGACACCGCGUGAGCGAAGAAGCCCUUUGGGGUGUAAAGCUCUGUCAGCUGGAACGAAAACAAUGACGGUACCAGCAGAGGAAGCAUCGGCUAACUACGUGCCAGCAGCCGCGGUAAGACGUAGGAUGCGAGCGUUGUCCGGAUUUAUUGGGCGUAAAGAGUUCGUAGGUGGUUUGUUAAGUUUGGUGUUAAAGAUCGGGGCUCAACCCUGGGACUGCACUGAAUACUGGCAGACUCGAGUGUGGUAGAGGCUAGUGGAAUUCCCAGUGUAGCGGUGAAAUGCGUAGAUAUUGGGAAGAACACCGGUGGCGUAGGCGACUAGCUGGGCCAUAACUGACGCUGAGGAACGAAAGCCAGGGGAGCGAAUGGGAUUAGAUACCCCAGUAGUCCCAUGAU
Molecule: ribosomal RNA, 453 nt
Filed under: uncultured organism
Description: partial 16S ribosomal RNA
Rfam family: Bacterial small subunit ribosomal RNA
Source: RNAcentral